RNAcentral lists this ribosomal RNA (497 nucleotides) under uncultured bacterium. RNAcentral's name for it is "partial 16S ribosomal RNA". It matches the Rfam family "Bacterial small subunit ribosomal RNA", at positions 28 to 507 of the family's 1533-position model. The record is from RNAcentral.
GAUGAACGCUGGCGGCGUGCCUAAUACAUGCAAGUCGAGCGAACGGACGAGAAGCUUGCUUCUCUGAUGUUAGCGGCGGACGGGUGAGUAACACGUGGAUAACCUACCUAUAAGACUGGGAUAACUUCGGGAAACCGGAGCUAAUACCGGAUAAUAUUUUGAACCGCAUGGUUCAAAAGUGAAAGACGGUCUUGCUGUCACUUAUAGAUGGAUCCGCGCUGCAUUAGCUAGUUGGUAAGGUAACGGCUUACCAAGGCAACGAUGCAUAGCCGACCUGAGAGGGUGAUCGGCCACACUGGAACUGAGACACGGUCCAGACUCCUACGGGAGGCAGCAGUAGGGAAGCGUCCGCAAUGGGCGAAAGACUGACGGAGCAACGCCGCGUGAGUGAUGAAGGUCUUCGGAUCGUAAAACUCUGUUAUUAGGGAAGAACAUAUGUGUAAGUAACUGUGCACAUCUUGACGGUACCUAAUCAGAAAGCAACGGCUAACUACGUG